Molecule: transfer RNA, 73 nt
Filed under: Corynebacterium sp. SY003
Lineage: Bacteria; Bacillati; Actinomycetota; Actinomycetes; Mycobacteriales; Corynebacteriaceae
Also listed under: 2 other names
Description: tRNA-Phe
Rfam family: tRNA
About the family: Transfer RNA (tRNA) molecules are approximately 80 nucleotides in length. Their secondary structure includes four short double-helical elements and three loops (D, anti-codon, and T loops). Further hydrogen bonds mediate the characteristic L-shaped molecular structure. tRNAs have two regions of fundamental functional importance: the anti-codon, which is responsible for specific mRNA codon recognition, and the 3' end, to which the tRNAs corresponding amino acid is attached (by aminoacyl-tRNA synthetases). tRNAs cope with the degeneracy of the genetic code in two manners: having more than one tRNA (with a specific anti-codon) for a particular amino acid; and 'wobble' base-pairing, i.e. permitting non-standard base-pairing at the 3rd anti-codon position.
Source: RNAcentral
GGCGCGGUAGCUCAGUCGGUAGAGCGUCCGCCUGAAAAGUGGAAGGUCACCGGUUCGAUCCCGGUCCGUGCCA